Molecule: ribosomal RNA, 26 nt
Filed under: Ditylenchus destructor
Lineage: Eukaryota; Metazoa; Nematoda; Chromadorea; Rhabditida; Anguinidae
Description: partial 18S ribosomal RNA
Source: RNAcentral
GUGAACCUGCUGCCGGAUCAUUAACG